GGCGUGCUUAACACAUGCAAGUCGAACGGGAAACGUUCCUUCGGGAACCGAGUACAGUGGCGCACGGGUGAGUAACACGUAGGUGACCUACCUAUCGCUGGGGAACAACCCCGGGAAACCGGAGCUAAUUCCGCAUACGCUUUCCAACUCGCGGGUUGGAAAGGAAAGAUGGCCUCUUCAUGAAAGCUGUCGGCGAAUGAUGGGCCUGCGCGUCAUUAGCUUGUUGGUGAGGUAACGGCUCACCAAGGCUGCGAUGACUAGCUGGUCUGAGAGGAUGAUCAGCCACACUGGCACUGGAACACGGGCCAGACUCCUACGGGAGGCAGCAGUGGGGAAUAUUGCGCAAUGGGCGAAAGCCUGACGCAGCAACGCCGCGUGAGUGACGAAGGCCUUCGGGUCGUAAAGCUCUGUCGAGAGGGACGAAACACCGGUGGGAACAAUACCUCGCCGGUUUGACGGUACCUCCAAAGGAAGCACCGGCUAACUCCGUGCCAGCAGCCGCGGUAAUACGGAGGGUGCAAGCGUUGUUCGGAAUUACUGGGCGUAAAGGGCGUGUAGGCGGAUCAAGAAGUCGGGUGUGAAAGCCCUGGGCUCAACCCAGGAAGUGCGCCCGAAACCAUUGGUCUUGAGUUCCAGAGGGGAGCGGGGAAUUCUCAGUGUAGAGGUGAAAUUCGUAGAUCUUGGGAAGAACACCGGUGCCGAAGGGGCCGCUCUGGAUGGAUACUGACGCUGAGGCGCGAAAGCGUGGGGAGCAAACAGGAUUAGAUACCCUGGUAG
RNAcentral lists this ribosomal RNA (777 nucleotides) under uncultured organism. RNAcentral describes it as "bacterial SSU rRNA". It matches the Rfam family "Bacterial small subunit ribosomal RNA", at positions 41 to 793 of the family's 1533-position model. The record is from RNAcentral.